CAGUAGCCGCGGGAAAACGUAGGGUGCAAGCGUUAAUCGGAAUUACUGGGCGUAAAGCGUGCGCAGGCGGUUUUGUAAGUCUGUCGUGAAAUCCCCGGGCUCAACCUGGGAAUGGCGAUGGAGACUGCAAGGCUAGAAUCUGGCAGAGGGGGGUAGAAUUCCACGUGUAGCAGUGAAAUGCGUAGAUAUGUGGAGGAACACCGAUGGCGAAGGCAGCCCCCUGGGCUAAGAUUGACGCUCAUGCACGAAAGCGUGGGGAGCAAACAGGAUUAGAUACCCCCGUAGUCCCUGUCUCUUAUAC
RNAcentral lists this ribosomal RNA (301 nucleotides) under uncultured bacterium. RNAcentral describes it as "partial 16S ribosomal RNA". It matches the Rfam family "Bacterial small subunit ribosomal RNA", at positions 509 to 807 of the family's 1533-position model. The record is from RNAcentral.